Molecule: ribosomal RNA, 253 nt
Filed under: uncultured bacterium
Lineage: Bacteria
Description: partial 16S ribosomal RNA
Rfam family: Bacterial small subunit ribosomal RNA
Source: RNAcentral
UACGGAGGGGGCUAGCGUUGUUCGGAGUUACUGGGCGUAAAGGGCGCGUAGGCGGCCCUCCAAGUCGGGUGUGAAAGCCCACGGCUCAACCGUGGAAUUGCACUCGAGACUGAAGGGCUCGAGGACGGGAGAGGAUGGUGGAAUUCCCAGUGUAGAGGUGAAAUUCGUAGAUAUUGGGAAGAACACCAGUGGCGAAGGCGGCUCACUGGCCCGGUACUGACGCUGAGGUGCGAAAGCGUGGGGAGCAAACAGG